UGGCAACGUUCCUUGGUCAUGGUGAGACAAAUCAGGCCCCGGCCAUACAUCGCCAUAAAGUUAAUGGCUUCCGGCGUAACCCGUUCGGCGGCGAUAAU
Molecule: non-coding RNA, 98 nt
Filed under: uncultured Enterovibrio sp.
Lineage: Bacteria; Pseudomonadati; Pseudomonadota; Gammaproteobacteria; Vibrionales; Vibrionaceae
Source: RNAcentral